CCUACGGGAGGCAGCAGUAGGGAAUUUUCGUCAAUGGGCGCAAGCCUGAACGAGCGAUGCCGCGUGAGUGAAGAAGGCCUUCGGGUCGUAAAGCUCUGUUGCGGGGGAAAAAAGGCAGCAUCAGGAAAUGGGUGCUGACCGAUGGUGCCCCGCCAGAAAGUCACGGCUAACUACGUGCCAGCAGCCGCGGUAAUACGUAGGUGGCGAGCGUUAUCCGGAAUGAUUGGGCGUAAAGGGUGCGCAGGCGGUCCUGCAAGUCUGGAGUGAAACGCAUGAGCUCAACUCAUGCAUGGCUUUGGAAACUGGAGGACUGGAGUGCAGGAGAGGGCGGUGGAAUUCCAUGUGUAGCGGUGAAAUGCGUAGAUAUAUGGAAGAACACCAGUGGCGAAGGCGGCCGCCUGGCCUGUUGCUGACGCUGAGGCACGAAAGCGUGGGGAGCAAAUAGGAUUAGAUACCCUUGUAGUG
Molecule: ribosomal RNA, 465 nt
Filed under: uncultured bacterium
Lineage: Bacteria
Description: partial 16S ribosomal RNA
Rfam family: Bacterial small subunit ribosomal RNA
Source: RNAcentral